Molecule: ribosomal RNA, 253 nt
Filed under: uncultured bacterium
Lineage: Bacteria
Description: partial 16S ribosomal RNA
Rfam family: Bacterial small subunit ribosomal RNA
Source: RNAcentral
UACGUAGGGGGCAAGCGUUGUCCGGAAUCAUUGGGCGUAAAGCGCGUGUAGGCGGCCCGGUAAGUCCGCUGUGAAAGUCCAGGGCUCAACCCUGGGAUGCCGGUGGAUACUGUCGGGCUCGAGUCCGGAAGAGGAGUGUGGAAUUCCUGGUGUAGCGGUGAAAUGCGCAGAUAUCAGGAGGAACACCGAUGGCGAAGGCAGGUCUCUGGGCCACUACUGACGCUGAGAAGCGAAAGCAUGGGGAGCGAACAGG